ACUACGGGUGGCAGCAGUGAGGAAUAUUGGUCAAUGGGCGCGAGCCUGAACCAGCCAAGUAGCGUGAAGGAUGACUGCCCUACGGGUUGUAAACUUCUUUUAUAAAGGCAUAAAGUGAGGCACGUGUUCCUUUUUGUAUGUACUUUAUGAAUAAGGAUCGGCUAACUCCAUUCCAGCAGCCGCGGUAAUACGGAGGAUCCGAGCGUUAUCCGUAUUUAUUGGGUUUAAAUGGAGCGUAGAAGGGUUGUCAAGUUAGUUGUGAAUGUUUGCGGAUCAACCGUAAAAUUGCAAUUGAUACUGGAAGUCUUGAGUACAGUUGAGGUAGGCGGAAUUCGUGGUGUAGCGGUGAAAUGCUUAGAGAUAACGAAGAACUCCGAUUGCGAAGGCAGCUUACUAAACUGCCACUAACAUUGAUGCUCGAAAGUGUGGGUAUCAAACAGGAUUAGAUACCCCAGUAGUC
This 460-nucleotide ribosomal RNA is filed under the name uncultured bacterium. Its description in RNAcentral is "partial 16S ribosomal RNA". It matches the Rfam family "Bacterial small subunit ribosomal RNA", at positions 338 to 795 of the family's 1533-position model. The record is from RNAcentral.